Molecule: ribosomal RNA, 467 nt
Filed under: Clostridioides difficile
Lineage: Bacteria; Bacillati; Bacillota; Clostridia; Peptostreptococcales; Peptostreptococcaceae
Description: bacterial SSU rRNA
Rfam family: Bacterial small subunit ribosomal RNA
Source: RNAcentral
CCUACGGGGGGCAGCAGUGGGGAAUAUUGCACAAUGGGCGCAAGCCUGAUGCAGCCAUGCCGCGUGUAUGAAGAAGGCCUUCGGGUUGUAAAGUACUUUCAGCGGGGAGGAAGGGAGUAAAGUUAAUACCUUUGCUCAUUGACGUUACCCGCAGAAGAAGCACCGGCUAACUCCGUGCCAGCAGCCGCGGUAAUACGGAGGGUGCAAGCGUUAAUCGGAAUUACUGGGCGUAAAGCGCACGCAGGCGGUUUGUUAAGUCAGAUGUGAAAUCCCCGGGCUCAACCUGGGAACUGCAUCUGAUACUGGCAAGCUUGAGUCUCGUAGAGGGGGGUAGAAUUCCAGGUGUAGCGGUGAAAUGCGUAGAGAUCUGGAGGAAUACCGGUGGCGAAGGCGGCCCCCUGGACGAAGACUGACGCUCAGGUGCGAAAGCGUGGGGAGCAAACAGGAUUAGAUACCCCUGUAGUCCG